This is a transfer RNA of 81 nucleotides. It matches the Rfam family "tRNA". Rfam says of the family: Transfer RNA (tRNA) molecules are approximately 80 nucleotides in length. Their secondary structure includes four short double-helical elements and three loops (D, anti-codon, and T loops). Further hydrogen bonds mediate the characteristic L-shaped molecular structure. tRNAs have two regions of fundamental functional importance: the anti-codon, which is responsible for specific mRNA codon recognition, and the 3' end, to which the tRNAs corresponding amino acid is attached (by aminoacyl-tRNA synthetases). tRNAs cope with the degeneracy of the genetic code in two manners: having more than one tRNA (with a specific anti-codon) for a particular amino acid; and 'wobble' base-pairing, i.e. permitting non-standard base-pairing at the 3rd anti-codon position. The record is from Rfam.
GGAGAUUUGGCCGAGCGGUUAAGGCGAGUGAUUAGAAAUCACUUUCAUUCGUGAGCGUAGGUUCGAGUCCUGCAGUCUUCG